GCGCUGAUGGUCUAAUGGUUAUGAUUUGACCUUCCCAAGGUUACGAUCCGGGUUCGAUUCCCGGUCGGCGCA
This 72-nucleotide transfer RNA is filed under the name Candidatus Pacearchaeota archaeon. Its description in RNAcentral is "tRNA-Gly". It matches the Rfam family "tRNA". Rfam says of the family: Transfer RNA (tRNA) molecules are approximately 80 nucleotides in length. Their secondary structure includes four short double-helical elements and three loops (D, anti-codon, and T loops). Further hydrogen bonds mediate the characteristic L-shaped molecular structure. tRNAs have two regions of fundamental functional importance: the anti-codon, which is responsible for specific mRNA codon recognition, and the 3' end, to which the tRNAs corresponding amino acid is attached (by aminoacyl-tRNA synthetases). tRNAs cope with the degeneracy of the genetic code in two manners: having more than one tRNA (with a specific anti-codon) for a particular amino acid; and 'wobble' base-pairing, i.e. permitting non-standard base-pairing at the 3rd anti-codon position. The record is from RNAcentral. Lineage: Archaea; Nanobdellati.